GUGUCAGCAGCCGCGGUAAUACGUAGGGGCCUAGCGUUGUCCGGAUUUAUUGGGCGUAAAGAGCUCGUAGGCGGCUUGGUAAGUCAGGUGUGAAAUCUCCACGCUCAACGUGGAGGGGCCACCCGAAACUGCCAUGGCUUGAGUCCGGUAGGGGAGUGUGGAAUUCCCGGUGUAGCGGUGAAAUGCGCAGAUAUCGGGAGGAACACCCGUAGCGAAGGCGGCACUCUGGGCCGGUACUGACGCUGAGGAGCGAAAGCGUGGGGAGCAAACAGGAUUAGAUACCCUUGUAGUCC
This 293-nucleotide ribosomal RNA is filed under the name uncultured bacterium. Its description in RNAcentral is "partial 16S ribosomal RNA". It matches the Rfam family "Bacterial small subunit ribosomal RNA", at positions 505 to 796 of the family's 1533-position model. The record is from RNAcentral.